Molecule: unclassified non-coding RNA, 617 nt
Filed under: Hevea brasiliensis (rubber tree)
Lineage: Eukaryota; Viridiplantae; Streptophyta; Magnoliopsida; Malpighiales; Euphorbiaceae
Source: RNAcentral
GCAUACAAAUAGUGCCGCUACAGUUCUUUAUCUCUUUUUCGGGCUUCGACUUCUCUAUAUUGCAUGGAGAUCAUCAGAUUCAAAGGCUUCCCAGAAAAAGGAAAUAGAGGAAGUGGAAGAGAAGCUAGAAGCUGGACAAGGGAAAGCAGCUUUCAGGCGAUUCUUUUCUAGAUUCCUUACACCCAUAUUUUUGGAGGCCUUUAUCUUGACCUUCCUGGCAGAGUGGGGAGACCGUAGCCAGAUAGCAACAAUUGCUCUAGCUACACACAAAAACGCAAUUGGAGUUGCUGUUGGGGCAACAAUAGGACACACUAUAUGUACUUCAGUGGCAGUGAUAGGUGGAAGCAUGCUUGCAUCCAAGAUCUCACAGCGAACAGUAGCUACAAUCGGAGGCCUACUUUUCCUCGGGUUUUCCUUGUCAUCGUAUUUCUAUCCACCUCUAUGAUUUUGACUUUCAUACAAUCUAAUUCUUCAGGAAUCGCGUUGCUCCAGUCUUUUCUCGGUUUUUCCAUAAGUAGGCUUAAGAGGGAAACAAAUUAUUUGUACUACAGGAGUUUAACCUUGAUUUUUUUUGUGUGUAAAUGCAAGCAUAUUGAAUAUGUUUUACAUGAAUCAGA